Molecule: long non-coding RNA, 1725 nt
Organism: Triticum dicoccoides
Lineage: Eukaryota; Viridiplantae; Streptophyta; Magnoliopsida; Poales; Poaceae
Exons: 6
Source: RefSeq, a predicted model, not a curated record
UCUCUCUCUCUCUCUCCCGUCUCCUCCCUCUCAACCCUAGCCGCCACCACCCACCCUCUACUACUCCACCACGCACCCACCUCCCCUCUGGAUUAGGUGCAGGCCGGCCGGUGCGCGCAGGCGGCGACGCUCCACUCGAGGGCAAAGGAAGAGCGACGGCGGUCAAGGCGGGGGUUGGCGGCCGACGGGGGUCUGGCGGGCGUGGCGGCAGCUGGAAGGGCAGCAGCGGCCUGUGGGGCGUCGACCAAACCGGCAGUGACGCCGAUGGAGGGGAAGUGCCCGGCAGGCGCGUGCAUGUGGGAGAAACUUGGGGGCCUUGUGGACUGGGGAGAUGGCAGACACCAAGUUUCUUCAAUUGAUCUGGACAGAGCCACGGCAGCGCACGCGAGGGGCGGAGGUGAGUGACCCUCUGGAGCCGCGCACGUUGAUAGAUUCCAGAUCGGGCGCGGGUCGAGCAGGAGCGGCUGCUGCAGAGAGGGCAGCAGAGGAACACAUCAUGGUGAGCUCCUGCCCCGGUGGCUACCCGCAGAGGAGAGGUCGAAGAUGGCUCCCAGUUCAUGGCAGAGAGGCCGACACAAAUAUUGUUUGGGUGACGGUUAAUUCCUACACCGAGUCGUGUUGCUGUACAAAUAGCUCUCUUAUUUGGUGGUGCCAUGGUGUCCCUCUCCAGGUUCUGCAGCGGGCAAUGCUCGAGUUAAGAGUUGGGUGCAUAGAAUAUAUAUACAUAUGUUGCCACGUCUGAAUAAACGGAGAUGAGCAGCAGCGGAGAGGAGAUAUCUAUCCAACUGUCAUCCUUCCCUGGCUUGGUUUUGUCAUUUCCGUCAGCGUCUGCUUCCUUCAUUGGUCGUCGCUUGUUUGUACUCAGCUGUAGUUUAGAGAGCAUAAUAUAUUUUCCAUGAUUUCAAUUGAAUACGCCACCCAGUUUGCUAAUAUAAUUGUCCAGUUCUCUCUCAUAGUGAUUCUUACAAAAUUAUCAUGCAUACAGGUCCAUAUGUAACCACUGGAUUAAUCAAAUGUAGAUUCUUUUGUAAAUAUGGUAGUCAUAUGUUUAGAUACUGGGGGAGUAAAUCUGUGAGAAAAUAUUCAAAGUUCAUCAGGUGUAUUUGCUUCUAAUCUGAUUAUUGUUCUAUUGCAUUUGCAAAGUCCAGUUCAGAUACACUGUUUUCUCCUUAUUCUCGCUAAAGCAGCUUUUUGGUUCAUUGUUACUUUGUUCCUGCUUGCUUAUUAGCUUAACCCCAAGGCUGCAUAAUCUAUGGCAGAUCUUGCUGAGUAACCAUACUUGUUUGAAGAUUAGCAAUGUGCAAGCAGCCAUUGCUACCAAAAGAGAAUGGAAGUAGUGCAAAGGGCCAAUGUUGCAUAGCCUUUACCCACUCUGCACUGCCGUAAAAUCUCAAGUAGCGACUACUCCCGGUACAUCUUCUGUUGAUCACGAGCAACACCAAGAGAGAUCUUUGUUAUUUGCAGUGGCUUGUUGGGUUUGAAGGAUGAAGCAAAUCCCAAGCAAGGAACAGGUUAACCUAUCUUGAUGCGUACUGCUGCUCUUGAUAUGCAUCAAGAUUUGAUUUAGAUGAAGCUAAUAAUGAAAAGUGUCAUCAGUGUGCCGUUAUAUGUAUUAUCGACCAAUACAUGUCUAGCAUUACUCGGAUAACAAAUCAAUAAUAGAAAGUUGUUUAAUGUGGAUUUCCCUUUUUUGGCCUAUAAACCUGCCAUGGAAUGGUUUCUAAA